AUUGAACGCUGGCGGCAUGCCUUACACAUGCAAGUCGAACGGUAACAGGUCUUCGGAUGCUGACGAGUGGCGAACGGGUGAGUAAUACAUCGGAACGUGCCCGAUCGUGGGGGAUAACGCAGCGAAAGCUGUGCUAAUACCGCAUACGAUCUACGGAUGAAAGCGGGGGAUCGCAAGACCUCGCGCGGACGGAGCGGCCGAUGGCAGAUUAGGUAGUUGGUGGGAUAAAAGCUUACCAAGCCGACGAUCUGUAGCUGGUCUGAGAGGACGAUCAGCCACACUGGGACUGAGACACGGCCCAGACUCCUACGGGAGGCAGCAGUAGGGAAUAUUGGGCAAUGGGGGAAACCCUGACCCAGCGACGCCGCGUGGAGGAAGGAGCCCUUCGGGGUGUAAACUCCUGUUGUAAGGGAAGAAGACAGUGACGGUACCUUACGAGGAAGCCCCGGCAAACUACGUG
RNAcentral lists this ribosomal RNA (460 nucleotides) under uncultured bacterium. RNAcentral's name for it is "bacterial SSU rRNA". It matches the Rfam family "Bacterial small subunit ribosomal RNA", at positions 29 to 507 of the family's 1533-position model. The record is from RNAcentral.